Non-coding RNA from Podarcis lilfordi (Lilford's wall lizard), 193 nucleotides. Lineage: Eukaryota; Metazoa; Chordata; Lepidosauria; Squamata; Lacertidae. The record is from the annotation of a GenBank genome assembly.
AGAAGAGAAGAAGAGGAAGAAGAAGAACAGGAAGAGGAAGAAGACAGGAAGAGGAAGUAGAAGACAAAGAAGGAGAACAUCCGCCUUGCCUGCGUCUUUCCUCUUGGCGGCAGGAAGGGGCGGGGCCUGGUCCACCUCGGAGGCGUACUCUUCUUCCUCUUCCUCUUCCUCCGCUUCCUCUUCCUCUUCCUCC